CCGCGUGGAUGAUGAAGCCCCUUGGGGUGUAAAAUCCUUUCGGCAGGGACGAAACCCGAGCAAUCGGGCCGACGGUACCUGAAGAAGAAGCCCCGGCUAACUCCGUGC
Molecule: ribosomal RNA, 108 nt
Filed under: uncultured bacterium
Lineage: Bacteria
Description: partial 16S ribosomal RNA
Rfam family: Bacterial small subunit ribosomal RNA
Source: RNAcentral